UGCAUCCAACAUGUGGCACUGA
RNAcentral lists this microRNA (22 nucleotides) under Callithrix jacchus (white-tufted-ear marmoset). Its description in RNAcentral is "cja-miR-891d". Its record names the gene cja-miR-891d. Lineage: Eukaryota; Metazoa; Chordata; Mammalia; Primates; Cebidae. The record is from miRBase by way of RNAcentral.